RNAcentral lists this ribosomal RNA (437 nucleotides) under uncultured bacterium. RNAcentral's name for it is "bacterial SSU rRNA". It matches the Rfam family "Bacterial small subunit ribosomal RNA", at positions 339 to 791 of the family's 1533-position model. The record is from RNAcentral.
UUACGGGAGGCAGCAGUCGGGAAUUUUGGGCAAUGGGCGAAAGCCUGACCCAGCAACGCCGCGUGAAGGAUGAAGUAUUUCGGUAUGUAAACUUCGAAAGAAUGGGAAGAACUCAAUGACGGUACCAUUUAUAAGCUCCGGCUAACUACGUGCCAGCAGCCGCGGUAAUACGUAGGGAGCAAGCGUUGUUCGGAUUUACUGGGCGUAAAGGGCGCGUAGGCGGCAAAUUAAGUCAGCUGUGAAAUCUCCGAGCUUAACUCGGAACUGUCAGCUGAUACUGAUCUGCUAGAGUGCGGAAGGGGCAAUCGGAAUUCUUGGUGUAGCGGUGAAAUGCGUAGAUAUCAAGAGGAACACCUGAGGUGAAGACGGGUUGCUGGGCCGACACUGACGCUGAGUGCGCGAAAGCCAGGGGAGCAAACGGGAUUAGAUACCCCGGU